This 461-nucleotide ribosomal RNA is filed under the name uncultured bacterium. RNAcentral describes it as "bacterial SSU rRNA". It matches the Rfam family "Bacterial small subunit ribosomal RNA", at positions 1 to 507 of the family's 1533-position model. The record is from RNAcentral.
AUCGUACGACGUAGUUUGAUCAUGGCUCAGAACGAACGCUGGCGGCAUGCCUAACACAUGCAAGUCGAACGAGACUUCGGUCUAGUGGCGGACGGGUGAGUAACGCGUAGGAACCUGCCAAGCAGUGGGGAAUAACAGCUGGAAACGGCUGCUAAUACCGCAUACGCCCUUCGGGGGAAAGAUUUAUCGCUGUUUGAGGGUCCUGCGUUCGAUUAGCUAGUUGGUGAGGUAACGGCCCACCAAGGCGACGAUCGAUAGCUGGUCUGAGAGGAUGAUCAGCCACACUGGGACUGAGACACGGCCCAGACUCCUACGGGAGGCAGCAGUGGGGAAUAUUGGACAAUGGGGGAAACCCUGAUCCAGCAAUGCCGCGUGCGUGAAGAAGGCCUUAGGGUUGUAAAGCGCUUUCACCUGUGAUGAUGAUGACAGUAGCAGGAGAAGAAGCCCCGGCUAACUCCGUG